UGGGGAAUAUUGCACAAUGGACGGAAGUCUGAUGCAGCAACGCCGCGUGCGGGAUGACGGCCUUCGGGUUGUAAACCGCUUUUUCUCAUGACGAAGUUUUUUGACGGUAGUGGGGGAAGAAGCACCGGCUAACUACGUGCCAGCAGCCGCGGUGAUACGUAGGGUGCGAGCGUUGUCCGGAAUUAUUGGGCGUAAAGAGCUUGUAGGCGGUUUGUCGCGUCGAUAGUGCAAACUCAGUGCUUAACGCUGAGCCUGCUGUUGAUACGGGCAGACUAGAGGAAGGUAGGGGAGAAUGGAAUUCCCGGUGGAGCGGUGGAAUGCGCAGAUAUCGGGAGGAACACCGGUGGCGAAGGCGGUUCUCUGGGCCUUUCCUGACGCUGAGAAGCGAAAGAGUGGGGAGCGAACAGG
RNAcentral lists this ribosomal RNA (408 nucleotides) under Fusobacteriota bacterium. RNAcentral's name for it is "Fusobacteria bacterium partial 16S ribosomal RNA". It matches the Rfam family "Bacterial small subunit ribosomal RNA", at positions 355 to 776 of the family's 1533-position model. Lineage: Bacteria; Fusobacteriati; Fusobacteriota. The record is from RNAcentral.